CACGUAGUUAGCCGUGGCUUUCUAUUCCGGUACCGUCACUUCUCUGUAUUAUUCACACAAAGAUCUUUCGUCCCGAUUAACAGAGCUUUACAAUCCGAAGACCUUCAUCACUCACGCGGCGUUGCUCCGUCAGACUUUCGUCCAUUGCGGAAGAUUCCCCACUGCUGCCUCCCGUAGGAGUUUGGGCCGUGUCUCAGUCCCAAUGUGGCCGUUCAUCCUCUCAGACCGGCUACUGAUCAUUGCCUUGGUGGGCCGUUACCCCUCCAACUAGCUAAUCAGACGCAAUCCCCUCCUUCAGCAGUAGCUUAUAAAUAGAGGCCACCUUUCAUUCACAAAUGAUGCCAUUCGUGAAUCGUACGCGGUAUUAGCAACGGUUUCCCGUUGUUAUCCCCCUCUGAAGGGCAGGUUGAUUACGCGUUACUCACCCGUUCGCCACUAACUUCAAGGGAGCAAGCUCCCUGUCCGUCCGUUCGACUUGCAUGUGUUAAGCACGCCGCCAGCGUCGU
Molecule: ribosomal RNA, 506 nt
Filed under: uncultured Veillonella sp.
Lineage: Bacteria; Bacillati; Bacillota; Negativicutes; Veillonellales; Veillonellaceae
Description: partial 16S ribosomal RNA
Source: RNAcentral